Molecule: ribosomal RNA, 254 nt
Filed under: uncultured bacterium
Lineage: Bacteria
Description: partial 16S ribosomal RNA
Rfam family: Bacterial small subunit ribosomal RNA
Source: RNAcentral
UACGAAGGGGGCUAGCGUUGUUCGGAAUUACUGGGCGUAAAGCGCGCGUAGGCGGCUUUGCAAGCCAGAGGUGAAAUGCCUGAGCUCAACUUGGGAAUUGCCUUUGGGACUGUGAGGCUUUGAGGACUGGAGAGGUGAGUGGAAUUCCCAGUGUAGAGGUGAAAUUCGUAGAUAUUGGGAAGAACACCGGUGGCGAAGGCGGCUCACUGGUCAGUUUCUGACGCUGCAGCGCGAAAGCGUGGGGAUCAAACAGG